RNAcentral lists this ribosomal RNA (245 nucleotides) under uncultured bacterium. RNAcentral's name for it is "partial small subunit ribosomal RNA". It matches the Rfam family "Bacterial small subunit ribosomal RNA", at positions 26 to 285 of the family's 1533-position model. The record is from RNAcentral.
AGAAUCAACGCUUGGCGGCGUGCCUAACACAUGCAAGUUCGCACGAGAAAGGGGAGCAAUCCCUGAGUACAGUGGCGCACGGGUGAGUAACACGUGAAUCAUCUACCUCCGAGUGGGAAUAACUGAGAGAAAUCUUAGCUAAUACCGCAUAACACUUACGAGUCAAAGCAGCAAUGCGCUUGGAGAGGAGUUCGCGGCAGAUUAGUUAGUUGGCGGGUAAUGGCCCACCAAGACGAUGAUCGGUA